This 71-nucleotide transfer RNA is filed under the name Zygosaccharomyces bailii. RNAcentral describes it as "transfer RNA-Gly(GCC)". It matches the Rfam family "tRNA". Rfam says of the family: Transfer RNA (tRNA) molecules are approximately 80 nucleotides in length. Their secondary structure includes four short double-helical elements and three loops (D, anti-codon, and T loops). Lineage: Eukaryota; Fungi; Ascomycota; Saccharomycetes; Saccharomycetales; Saccharomycetaceae. The record is from RNAcentral.
GCGCAAGUGGUUUAGUGGUAAAAUUCAUUAUUGCCGUCGAUGAGCCCCCGGUCCGAUUCCGGGCUUGCGCA